AGUGAACGCUGGCGGUGGCCUAACACAUGCAAGUCGAACGGCAGCACAGUAAGAGCUUGCUCUUACGGGUGGCGAGUGGCGGACGGGUGAGGAAUACAUCGGAAUCUACUUUUUCGUGGGGGAUAACGUAGGGAAACUUACGCUAAUACCGCAUACGACCUACGGGUGAAAGCAGGGGAUCUUCGGACCUUGCGCGAUUGAAUGAGCCGAUGUCGGAUUAGCUAGUUGGCGGGGUAAAGGCCCACCAAGGCGACGAUCCGUAGCUGGUCUGAGAGGACGAUCAGCCACACUGGAACUGAGACACGGUCCAGACUCCUACGGGAGGCAGCAGUGGGGAAUAUUGGACAAUGGGCGCAAGCCUGAUCCAGCCAUACCGCGUGGGUGAAGAAGGCCUUCGGGUUUUAAAGCCCUUUUGUUGGGAAAGAAAAGCAGCAGGUUAAUACCCCGCUGUUCUGACGGUACCCAAAGAAUAAGCACCGGCUAACUUCGUG
RNAcentral lists this ribosomal RNA (491 nucleotides) under uncultured bacterium. Its description in RNAcentral is "partial 16S ribosomal RNA". It matches the Rfam family "Bacterial small subunit ribosomal RNA", at positions 29 to 507 of the family's 1533-position model. The record is from RNAcentral.